Long non-coding RNA from Lycium ferocissimum, 511 nucleotides. RefSeq lists it as uncharacterized. The transcript is spliced from 2 exons. The record is from RefSeq and is a predicted model, not a curated record. Lineage: Eukaryota; Viridiplantae; Streptophyta; Magnoliopsida; Solanales; Solanaceae.
UUCAAAUGAAUUGAAUUCCCCUUUUGUUUGCUUGGGGUCCUACAUUUAACGAUGCAGAUUACAGGAUGACGGGUCAGCUCGUUAGGACUUUGCACGUACCAGCUAUUGCAUGGCGCCGAGUGCCGCGUCAUGCCCAGGCUAUGGUUCGGGGUGUGACAAGACAACUUCGAGGGCCUUCUCAGUAGGUUGCAUAGGAUCAGCGGAUAGUCGGCAAGCUUUAUUUGUUCCGGACUUGCCUGGUCUUUUGGGCAUGAUAUUAUGUUUACGUUUAUGUAUAUCUUGGGUAUUACGGGGCCAUGUCCCGACCACUAUGUUAUAUUAUGCUCACUCCUAGAGGCUCAUAGACAGGUGUUAUAUGUACAGAUGUUACAUGUGGCCUUGCCGUCCUUAGUUUGGUACUAGUGUUGUUGUUGUGGCCUUGUUGGCCAUGUGAUCAUAUGUAGAUAUUAGUGGUAGCCUUGUCGGCUUGCGUUUAUGUAAGUAUAUUACUGUGUUGGGCCUUUUCUGUGUA